Globicephala melas (long-finned pilot whale) is the source of this 1665-nucleotide long non-coding RNA. RefSeq lists it as uncharacterized. Lineage: Eukaryota; Metazoa; Chordata; Mammalia; Artiodactyla; Delphinidae. The record is from RefSeq and is a predicted model, not a curated record.
AGGCAGGGCUGGAGGAGGCUGGCCGUGAGGGCCGGCGGGAGCAGGAGCAGGAGUGGGGAGACCCUGGAGGCCACGAGCGCUGAGGGAUUAAACACAGGCGGUUAAGGCCUCCGAGUGCCGAGAGCCCUGUUUGUGGCCCGCUGGCACUCAUGUGCAGGACUAGAUGCAGAAUACUUUUCAGCACUAAACUCACCUCGGGCUCCCUCUGGCUACCCUAUUACAAUUUUUCUUUCCCCUGGUUUCUUUACAUAUUCAUCUCUUUCACAAUUAUACUACAUGUAAAUUUAUGCAGUUGCCUGAAUCCUGUCUGGGUGACUAUUUUUAGCAUUUAUAAUCAUUAUCCAGGUCUGUCUGGGUUCCACAGCCAGUGUUUCCGACCCUCCCAGGACACUUCACCUUGAUCGUCUGCAAAGACCCAGAGGGCCCUUCAGUUCACUCAAGGUUUUGGGUGAAAGGCUUAGAAAGCUGCCCGGGGAGUAUGCCCACUCUUCCUCUGUGGGGUGCGAACCUGCCUGUCCCGCCCUACCUGUGUCUGAGCACUGCUGAGACAGCAUCCCUUCCAGAGCUGCCACGUAGUCGGGGCCUAGCCAGUCAUGGUCUCAGGGCGGGAUGGGCUCCUCCCCUAAGAGCUGAAGUUCUCAAGCCAGAAGAGGUAUAACAUCAAGUAUGGAUCUGUAAGAUGCAGUUUCAAAGGCCCCUCCUUGCAAAGAAUCUCAUCAGGAGGAACUCCAGGUGGGCUCACGAGCAGAGAUAAAAGAAUUUGAGUGGCCCUGGGAGGCAGGUGAACCUCGCAAGGGCCCCGCCUCCUCCCCAGCCCUCAGCCCAGGACCACAGAGGGCACAGGCUGGGACCAGGCAGCGCUCACAGCUCCUGCAGGAGCACGCAGUUCCCUCCUUCUCGGGGAUGAUCCCCAGUGUUCUUGGUGGGAGGUUGGCAGGGGAGGGAGGGUAUGGCAACAGGGCCUGGAACGCUUCCAGCUCUGUUGGGGCAACUGGUCUCCAGCUUAGUGACUUUCGUAGGCAGGGUGGGAUCUGAGUUUUGAAAUACUGACUGAUGUUUUUUCCCUGCGUGUCUUGCUUUCCCUUCGCCAAUGUCCUCCUCCCCUUCGGGCCUUCUGCCUUUCUGCCCUGAGUUCCUGGGAAGAGAUGUGUUAGGACAGAGUGGAGAAGACUUAACCUCCAGUGUUUGAGGUUUCAAAGCCUGGGGUGUAGGCAGAGUAUAUAGAAAAUGCAAACAAUAGAGUGUUGAAGGGAAACAGCUUUCAGUCUUCAAAAUGGAUAGAUUCCCUGAGGAGGGAGAAGAGGAUGGGGCAGGGGGGUGAUGCACGGUCAAGGGCCUGCACCCCGAUAGGACCUCAGGUGGGGGCUUAGGGGUCCUGGAGGAGUUCCUGAGCUCUUCUUCCCGGGUGGAGCCCAGGAAGGUGACUCCAGAGAAAAAAACCACCUGUAUGAUGUGAAUGGGGGUGUGCCCUGCCUCACAUGGCUUGGGGGCUGCAGAGUGAUUUCCCUGCGCGUGGCAUUGACCUGCUCAGGACCAAACACCAGAUGCUGAUGUGAACUGAUAACCCUGGGGAGAGAGGCCCCUGCCACCUCUACCCACACACCUGGGUGCCACAUAGACACCCAAGAAUGGGUUCUCUCCAAAUUGAUUGGGUUUCUACCAUUU